RNAcentral lists this transfer RNA (85 nucleotides) under Halorussus sp. JP-T4. RNAcentral's name for it is "tRNA-OTHER". It matches the Rfam family "tRNA". From Rfam's summary of the family: Transfer RNA (tRNA) molecules are approximately 80 nucleotides in length. Their secondary structure includes four short double-helical elements and three loops (D, anti-codon, and T loops). Lineage: Archaea; Methanobacteriati; Methanobacteriota; Halobacteria; Halobacteriales; Haladaptataceae. The record is from RNAcentral.
GGAAGGGUAGCUCAGUGGGAGAGCACCACCGGUACACCGGUGGCAGCCUUUCAGGCUUCGCGUGGUUCGACUCCCGCCCCUUCCA